AUAAUGGGUCAGCGACUUAUAUUCUGUAGCAAGGUUAACCGAAUAGGGGAGCCGAAGGGAAACCGAGUCUUAACUGGGCGUUAAGUUGCAGGGUAUAGACCCGAAACCCGGUGAUCUAGCCAUGGGCAGGUUGAAGGUUGGGUAACACUAACUGGAGGACCGAACCGACUAAUGUUGAAAAAUUAGCGGAUGACUUGUGGCUGGGGGUGAAAGGCCAAUCAAACCGGGAGAUAGCUGGUUCUCCCCGAAAGCUAUUUAGGUAGCGCCUCGUGAAUUCAUCUCCGGGGGUAGAGCACUGUUUCGGCAAGGGGGUCAUCCCGACUUACCAACCCGAUGCAAACUGCGAAUACCGGAGAAUGUUAUCACGGGAGACACACGGCGGGUGCUAACGUCCGUCGUGAAGAGGGAAACAACCCAGACCGCCAGCUAAGGUCCCAAAGUCAUGGUUAAGUGGGAAACGAUGUGGGAAGGCCCAGACAGCCAGGAUGUUGGCUUAGAAGCAGCCAUCAUUUAAAGAAAGCGUAAUAGCUCACUGGUCGAGUCGGCCUGCGCGGAAGAUGUAACGGGGCUAAACCAUGCACCGAAGCUGCGGCAGCGACGCUUAUGCGUUGUUGGGUAGGGGAGCGUUCUGUAAGCCUGCGAAGGUG
This 647-nucleotide ribosomal RNA is filed under the name Escherichia coli. RNAcentral describes it as "partial 23S ribosomal RNA". It matches the Rfam family "Bacterial large subunit ribosomal RNA", at positions 612 to 1258 of the family's 2925-position model. Lineage: Bacteria; Pseudomonadati; Pseudomonadota; Gammaproteobacteria; Enterobacterales; Enterobacteriaceae. The record is from RNAcentral.